Molecule: unclassified non-coding RNA, 849 nt
Filed under: Hevea brasiliensis (rubber tree)
Lineage: Eukaryota; Viridiplantae; Streptophyta; Magnoliopsida; Malpighiales; Euphorbiaceae
Source: RNAcentral
GUUUCUCCCACGCCCCCAACCCAUACAACGGGCGGUGCAACAACAAUCGCAGAGUCAAAGAGAAACCCUAACUAUGGUUUUGGGGUUUCGGAUUUUGAAUUGUAAUUUCCUCGCGACGAAUAGCUGAGAAAUAGCUGAGAAUUAAUAUUCAAUUAGCAUUAAUAAUAUGGGAGGCGAUGAUAUUAGUCGAGAUAAAGACAAUCCAUGGCAAUCUCCUAACAGACCUUAUCAAGAGAAAGCCGAUUAUAUCGAACUUUGGGGAGUAUUUCUCUUCGGUCUAAUUGGCGCCACUGCUACCACUUUGGCUGUUGUUCAGCUGCGGAGGAAUGUUGAAUGGUUCAAUGCUCAGUUAAAAAGGUCAGAAUCAUCAUGGAAAGGAAGAACAGGCAGUUCCUUUCGGUCAACUUUUCAGGAGGAAGCAUGGAAAAGGUAUAAUCGUCGAAUGCAAGAGGAAUAUGAAGAGGAAAUGGAGAGAGUAGAACGUAUAAGGCGCAUGCAAAGUGUGUUUAACCGAGAGAGGAACAAGCACAAGAGAAGCUAUGAAAGCUGGAGGCAAAAUGGUUCAGGUGCAUAUCAUCAGCAUUUUCAGCGAGAUGAUUGGUAUUGGAAGACUGAUACGUCCUUCGGUGAUCAGAGGACUAACUUCAGGACUCCAAGAGAGAGAGCGAGCUACCCAUUAUCGCAUCAUUACUCAGUUUUGGGCCUUGAUAGGUCCGGAAAAACACCAUAUACUGAAGCUGAAAUUAAGAAAGCAUUCAGGGCGAAGGCAAAGGAGUUCCAUCCAGAUCAGAAUCAAGAUAAUAAAGAGUUUUAUGAGGCCAAGUUCAAAGAGGUAAUGAUAUCCUACGA